Molecule: ribosomal RNA, 253 nt
Filed under: uncultured bacterium
Lineage: Bacteria
Description: partial 16S ribosomal RNA
Rfam family: Bacterial small subunit ribosomal RNA
Source: RNAcentral
UACGUAGGGUGCGAGCGUUAAUCGGAAUUACUGGGCGUAAAGCGUGCGCAGGCGGCUUUGCAAGACAGGCGUGAAAUCCCCGGGCUCAACCUGGGAAUUGCGCUUGUGACUGCAAAGCUGGAGUGCGGCAGAGGGGGAUGGAAUUCCGCGUGUAGCAGUGAAAUGCGUAGAUAUGCGGAGGAACACCAAUGGCGAAGGCAAUCCCCUGGGCCUGUACUGACGCUCAUGCACGAAAGCGUGGGGAGCAAACAGG